AGUGAACGCUGGCGGUAGGCCUAACACAUGCAAGUCGAACGGCAGCACAGUAAGAGCUUGCUCUUACGGGUGGCGAGUGGCGGGCGGGUGAGGAAUACAUCGGAAUCUACUUUUUCGUGGGGGAUAACGUAGGGAAACUUACGCUAAUACCGCAUACGACCUACGGGUGAAAGCAGGGGAUCUUCGGACCUUGCGCGAUUGAAUGAGCCGAUGUCGGAUUAGCUAGUUGGCGGGGUAAAGGCCCACCAAGGCGACGAUCCGUAGCUGGUCUGAGAGGAUGAUCAGCCACACUGGAACUGAGACACGGUCCAGACUCCUACGGGAGGCAGCAGUGGGGAAUAUUGGACAAUGGGCGCAAGCCUGAUCCAGCCAUACCGCGUGGGUGAAGAAGGCCUUCGGGUUGUAAAGCCCUUUUGUUGGGAAAGAAAAGCAGCAGGUUAAUACCCCGCUGUUCUGACGGUACCCAAAGAUUAAGCACCGGCUAACUUCGUG
This 492-nucleotide ribosomal RNA is filed under the name uncultured bacterium. Its description in RNAcentral is "partial 16S ribosomal RNA". It matches the Rfam family "Bacterial small subunit ribosomal RNA", at positions 29 to 507 of the family's 1533-position model. The record is from RNAcentral.